This 632-nucleotide unclassified non-coding RNA is filed under the name Hevea brasiliensis (rubber tree). Lineage: Eukaryota; Viridiplantae; Streptophyta; Magnoliopsida; Malpighiales; Euphorbiaceae. The record is from RNAcentral.
GAGGCAGCAUUUAAACCAGAAGUCAAUGGGGAACUUGAUACUCAAAACUUCAUGAAAUUUGAUGAGGUGGAACCUCCACCAACAAGAAGAGGAUCAGGACCUUCGAGGAAGCAGCUGUUAUCUCCUCAAGAUCUAAGUUUUGUUGGUUACACGUACAAGAACUUUGAUGCUAUCAAAGGGUCACGGCAUUCUUUUGAACUUAAGAGGACCUCAUCACGGUCUUCAACCGACUCUUUUCAGAGUGAUUCUGCAGUGGACUAUUCUAAGGACUUGCCUGAUGACUCAGAAAUUCAGAAGCUUACUUCGACGGGACAUUCAAUGUCGCCAUGAAGACCCACUGAAUUCUCAGUGUGUAAACUGUAUGGCAUAAUCAUAACAGACGGAGUGCUCCUCUUGCAAAGAAUUUCAUAGGUGUACAUUGCUAUUGAGGAACUUCUGUGAAGCAUGUAGCUAGCCAAGUAACAACUUGUUGUGGUUCAGUCUAAAGGUACUGUAUCCAUACCGAGUUUCCCUGACUGCGCAGGUUGGCAGAACAAAUAUGCCUACCCUUGUGGCAGUGUAGGCCCUUUCUCUUUCCCCUUUUCCCUUUUUCUCCCUUUUUGGAUAGUGUGGGAAGCUGGAAAAUCCCCGGC